GUGUACUUGGUUGGAGAAAGGUUCAUCAUCUUCCUGAACAGAUCCAUGGUUGUCUAUUUCUGUUGUUUGAGAAUAACUUUUCUGUCCCUUUUCUAACUGAUCCUUGCCUCCAUUUCCCUUAUCCAACAUAGAAGAAGAAACCCCACUAAUUUCACUUUCAGACACAUUUCUCUCUAGGUUUUCAUUUGCAACAAUAUAAUUGUAUAGUUCUUGAUCAAGUACACCACUAGCCUUUUCUACCUCAAGAUGAAAAUCAUCUGCUUGAACAGAGGC
RNAcentral lists this unclassified non-coding RNA (273 nucleotides) under Hevea brasiliensis (rubber tree). Lineage: Eukaryota; Viridiplantae; Streptophyta; Magnoliopsida; Malpighiales; Euphorbiaceae. The record is from RNAcentral.